UUCAACAGGAAUCACACAAGGGUAGAUUAGAAACCUCUGGUAAAAUGUCCGCCCGUAACCCAACAGAUUACAUAGUCUAGGGAUUGGCGACUUACCCAUUCAGUGACUUUGGCACUGGACGUUCCCAAAAUGGGUACUAUCGGGUCGGGUGAAUUCAUUAAUAGACGCCUGUUGGCAUUCCAGCCUUCCUUCUCCUUUUAGGGCAUAUCCGAAAGAGAAUCCAGUACUUCUUAGUAGUGAAUAUCUAAACUGGUUAUUCGCUGUUCAAUAAUU
This 273-nucleotide long non-coding RNA is filed under the name Olea europaea subsp. europaea. The record is from RNAcentral. Lineage: Eukaryota; Viridiplantae; Streptophyta; Magnoliopsida; Lamiales; Oleaceae.